RNAcentral lists this ribosomal RNA (439 nucleotides) under uncultured bacterium. Its description in RNAcentral is "partial 16S ribosomal RNA". It matches the Rfam family "Bacterial small subunit ribosomal RNA", at positions 339 to 795 of the family's 1533-position model. The record is from RNAcentral.
CUACGGGUUGCUGCAGUGGGGAAUCUUGGACAAUGGGCGCAAGCCUGAUCCAGCCAUGCCGCGUGAGUGAAGAAGGCCUUAGGGUCGUAAAGCUCUUUCGCCAGAGAUGAUAAUGACAGUAUCUGGUAAAGAAACCCCGGCUAACUCCGUGCCAGCAGCCGCGGUAAUACGGAGGGGGUUAGCGUUGUUCGGAAUUACUGGGCGUAAAGCGCGCGUAGGCGGAUUAGUCAGUCAGGGGUGAAAUCCCAGGGCUCAACCCUGGAACUGCCUUUGAUACUGCUAGUCUUGAGUUCGAGAGAGGUGAGUGGAAUUCCGAGUGUAGAGGUGAAAUUCGUAGAUAUUCGGAGGAACACCAGUGGCGAAGGCGGCUCACUGGCUCGAUACUGACGCUGAGGUGCGAAAGUGUGGGGAGCAAACAGGAUUAGAUACCCUUGUAGUC